RNAcentral lists this long non-coding RNA (442 nucleotides) under Fukomys damarensis (Damara mole-rat). RNAcentral describes it as "lncRNA (ENSFDAG00000023357.1)". Lineage: Eukaryota; Metazoa; Chordata; Mammalia; Rodentia; Bathyergidae. The record is from RNAcentral.
AUCCUCCAAGGAGAAAGGCUAUCUGGGAAGUGAUCUCUACGACAUUCUAAGUUUCCAAGUCAAGAAAGGAUAAGGUGGCAGCUGAGCCCAGUGAAUCCAGCUGUGACUUACAUCUGUAAGGUGCUUCUGUAUCUAAGCCCAGAGCCCCUUCCCACGUGAAGAACAAAGGACAACAAAUCACUAUGUGGCUGCCUAACUAGGUCAUGAUGGGAAGACAUGGGCCAGAUGCAGGGCACUUCCUGCAUUCCAGUUAGAGACAGGAAGUUGUCAUGUAGAUGGAGGAAGAAAGAGGGAGAAAGAAAGGAUCUGAGAGAUGAUGCUCUCAACACCUACUGCUAAGGACUCAUUGCCCUAAAAUCAAAACUCGGUACCAUCGACAACAAAGCCUGACAGCCCACAUCUGAGAUCUCACACCCAACCUUCUUCAGCUCCAGUAGACACC